RNAcentral lists this non-coding RNA (32 nucleotides) under Geobacter sulfurreducens PCA. The record is from RNAcentral. Lineage: Bacteria; Pseudomonadati; Thermodesulfobacteriota; Desulfuromonadia; Geobacterales; Geobacteraceae.
CCCCUUGUCGCUGCCGGACUUUUUCUUCAGGU